GAUGAACGCUGGCGGCGUGCUUAACACAUGCAAGUCGAACGGAAAGGCCCAAGCUUGCUUGGGUACUCGAGUGGCGAACGGGUGAGUAACACGUGGGUGAUCUGCCCUGCACUUCGGGAUAAGCCUGGGAAACUGGGUCUAAUACCGGAUAGGACCACUUCUUGGAUGUUGUGGUGGAAAGUUUUUUCGGUGUGGGAUGAGCUCGCGGCCUAUCAGCUUGUUGGUGGGGUAAUGGCCUACCAAGGCGUCGACGGGUAGCCGGCCUGAGAGGGUGUACGGCCACAUUGGGACUUGGAGACGGCCCCGACUCCUACGGGGGGCAGCAGUGGGGAAUAUUGCACAAUGGGCGCAAGCCUGAUGCAGCGACGCCGCGUGGGGGAUGACGGCCUUCGGGUUGGAAACUCCUUUCGCUAGGGACGAAGCGUUUUGUGACGGUACCUGGAGAAGAAGCACCGGCUAACUACGUG
RNAcentral lists this ribosomal RNA (467 nucleotides) under uncultured bacterium. RNAcentral's name for it is "partial 16S ribosomal RNA". It matches the Rfam family "Bacterial small subunit ribosomal RNA", at positions 28 to 507 of the family's 1533-position model. The record is from RNAcentral.